UACAGAGGGGGCAAGCGUUAUUCGGAAUUAUUGGGCGUAAAGGGCGCGUAGGCGGCUUGGCAAGUGGAUGGUGAAAUCCCUCGGCUUAACCGAGGAACUGCCAUCCAGACUGCUUUGCUUGAGGCCGGGAGAGGUGAGUGGAAUUCCCAGUGUAGCGGUGAAAUGCGUAGAUAUUGGGAGGAACACCAGUGGCGAAGGCGGCUCACUGGACCGGUUCUGACGCUGAGGUGCGAAAGCGUGGGGAGCAAACAGG
Molecule: ribosomal RNA, 253 nt
Filed under: uncultured bacterium
Lineage: Bacteria
Description: partial 16S ribosomal RNA
Rfam family: Bacterial small subunit ribosomal RNA
Source: RNAcentral